GUGCUCACUUUCGCAGCACAUCUGCUCAAAUUGGAAUGAUACAGAGAAGAUUAGCAUGGCCCCUGCGCAUGGAUGACAUACAAAUUUGUGAAGCAUUCUAUAUUUGU
Molecule: small nuclear RNA, 107 nt
Organism: Rhincodon typus (whale shark)
Lineage: Eukaryota; Metazoa; Chordata; Chondrichthyes; Orectolobiformes; Rhincodontidae
Source: RefSeq, a predicted model, not a curated record